AAAGGUUGAUUGGUCGAUUGGUGGGGCAUUUCCCAGUUGUUACAGCAUUCAUUUAGCAUUCUGGGCAGCAAUCACAAGAGGACUCCGAGAAAGGAAGCUUGCAAAAUCUGUGAAAGGGAACUUUGGAAUCAAAAAGGGAGCAACGAAUUCUGAAAGGGGCUUGUUGCUGCUUCAAUGCUGUAGCAUCACCGUAGCAUCGGGCAGAGCCAGGAAGGAAGCGUGACAACUGCGAGCUGGACUUAAUGAGGCAUAAGUGGCGCUGAGAUGGCAAGAGUAUUGUACAAUUAAGUCAGCUGGGUGAUGUGGCACGUGGAGGACAAGGUGGGAAUUGACUUUCCUAUUAGGGUAAAGCAAAGUACCCUAAAGAAAGGGGGUACCAGCCGAAAUAGGGAGCAGCCCCCAUUCUUGGAGACAGCUGAUUUUCUUAGACCAUUUUUGAGAGAAAACAGAAGAAAAGAAAAAAAAAACAGAGAGAGUACAGAGGAGGAAGAGGACCACGAGCUGACAACGAGGGGGAUUGAGCACAGCAAUUCCUUCUAACUUCUUCUUCUCCCUUCUUCAUUUUGUAUUGUAUUUUCUCUCUAUCUAAUUUGUGAACAAACUCCAUGGAUUUGCUAAUGGCUACUGGUUUUGUAUUUUUAUUAUUAAACAUGAACUAAUCUUUAGAGGUUUGGGUGGUUAUGAACCCUUAUGUAUGAACUAAAUUUCUAAAAUGCAUGGUUAAUUUGU
Molecule: long non-coding RNA, 729 nt
Organism: Humulus lupulus (European hop)
Lineage: Eukaryota; Viridiplantae; Streptophyta; Magnoliopsida; Rosales; Cannabaceae
Exons: 2
Source: RefSeq, a predicted model, not a curated record